This 1554-nucleotide long non-coding RNA is filed under the name Pongo abelii (Sumatran orangutan). RNAcentral describes it as "lincRNA". Lineage: Eukaryota; Metazoa; Chordata; Mammalia; Primates; Hominidae. The record is from RNAcentral.
CGGGGCGCCAGGUACAGCCUGCGGGACGUCCAGUGCCAGCGCAGGAGCCGGGCGAGGCCGUGGCCUCCAGGGUUCCUGGGCGGAGGACAAGGCGCGCAGCCGCGUUGGCGCGAGUUUUAAAUCGGUGCCUUCUCAACUUUGCAAGCUCUUACCAAUUGCUGCAUGCCAGAGGAAGUUUUUAAAAAAUGGCCCCCAGCUCUACUGCGGUGUAAUUGAUGGAUAGAAAUUGUAUUUAUUUAAGGUGAACAGCUGGACGAUGUGAUGGAGGCACGCAGGGUGGAGGGGUUACCACAGUCUAGGUACUCUACACAUCCAGAGCCUCCCACAGUUGACAAAUGGAUUUUCCUAAUCAGUUUCGUCGUGUUUUGUACUUAAGUUGAGCAUUCCACGCCGUGUGGUACUUUCAGAAGAGAAGUAGUGGUGAAUAAAUCGCAACCGUUGUGAUGUUUUCUUAACUAGGUAUUAAGAAUUACCAUUGGUAUUUGGAAUUAGAUUGCAGAGCAUUUAGGAACCGUUCUCACUAUGUUGCCCAGGCUGGUCUUGAACUCCUCAGCUGAAAUGAGCCUCCCACCUUGGCCUCCCAAAGUGCUGGGAUUACAGGCGUCCCCUCUGCCCCAGUACUGUCUCCUCUCCCCAGCCCAGCCCCCACAGCUGCCUGCCCUGGCCUCACUCCCUGGCCUCCCCCCAUCCCAGCCUCUGGGUCCCUGAGUCAGUCCCUGGGGCUGUCUGCCCUCCAUGGAGCCUCUGGUGUGGACCAGAAGGUAACCUAAUCUCUUCCAGGCCCACCCUGGAAACAAAGGGAUUUGUCCACUAGCCUGGUGGUGAGAACCAUGUGGCCCCCUGUCUCUCGCAGAGAGGACUCCAGGAUCAAGGGCAGGUAAAAGGAGGAGGCUGCCGGGGAGCUUCAGAAGGAGGGUCCCAAGUCCCUCCUGCCCCACUUCUGUGCCUGGGUCACUCACACCCCUGCCUGACUCUAGCCCCCCCUUCUCCAGGGGUCUCCACAACAUGUGAAUCAUGCCCAGCGUCUUCCAUUACACCCUUGAUAAAGUCCUCUCCUCACCAGGACCUCUGUCAUUUUACCUCAUGGUUCUGAAAUAAUUUUUGGUCUUCUUAGCAGUUUAAAAAUAUUGUUUUGUUUUUUUCUCCUGCGUUUGGAGCAUUCCUGUUACCAAUUACAUUUUUUUUUAGACAGGUGCACACUACUACACCCAGCUAAUUUUUGUUUUGUUUUGUUUUGUUUUGGUAGAGAUAGGAUCUUGCUAUGGUACCCAGGCUGGUCUUCAACUCCUGGGCUCAAGCAGUCCUCCUGCAUUGGCCUCCCAAAGUGCUGGAAUUACAGGCAUGAGGCAGCACGCCCAGCCCUAAUUACUUCUAUUACGCCAAAUUCCUUGUGUGGAAUUCCUGUGCUUUGCACACAAAUUGCCAGGUUGGCCCCAGAAAGGUGGAUUCCAUUUUCCCGUCUUCUAUGCCUACGUGGCUGACCAAUCUCCCGAAUCCUACAGGAGCUGUGGUUGAUCUUUGUCCUCUAUUCGCUGAAAUAAAGUUCACCAUGGA